Molecule: long non-coding RNA, 1167 nt
Organism: Stylophora pistillata
Lineage: Eukaryota; Metazoa; Cnidaria; Anthozoa; Scleractinia; Pocilloporidae
Source: RefSeq, a predicted model, not a curated record
AUGGCGGCCAAUGUUUUAAAUUUUCAAGAGUAUGUGAAUAUUUUGAGACCAAAAGGGGAGCAAACACGGUACCACAAACUUUACUUACCUUGAAAUACAUGAUGGUAUCUGGACGGAAAAAUGACGUCUCAGCGGCUGAAACACUCUGAAAUGGAAACCACGUGCGACAUAACAGAACUGCCGAGGAUGUUUAUGUGUAGAGCUCAGAGCUUAACUUGGCUCUGUGGCUUACAACUACCUGGAUAACAGUUUGUUGCUUGUUCCUAGACAGUCAUAACUCCUCAAGGUUAAAGCAGAAAUGUUGGUUGAUCAUGAAUUAUGGCUUUUGGUGUGCAAGGGCAACUACAAGCAAGUGAACUGAGUCAACCAAUGAAGAGUCUACAAUAACUCAAAGUGUGUUCAAACCACUUCUGUUUUAACUCCUUUUGAGACAAACAAAGCCACGCCUGAAGUCACAUGAAGACUUUAUCUUUAAGUAUCAAGAUCGUAUAUUUUUCCACUGAAGAGCAAGUCACAAACAGGUAGACAAUAUUUUAUUUGAAGAUUACGGUUAUGGUGGAAUCUUAUAAUGAUGUCUACCGGAAUUGAAAGUUUCAAGCUUCUAUGUCGAUGUACUGAUAACAGCCAGAUCUUCAUAAAAGAAAAGCAAAUCAGUGAAGGUUGGACUUAAAACUUGAGAAGAAGUUGAUCCUAUCGCUUAAGGAAAAUGACAAUUUAACUGCUUUAAGGUUCAAAGUUACUGCAAGGUUUGGAUGUAACGAAAUAUGUUGGAACGUUAGCUUCCGCGGUUUUCGCUACUUUGUUCCUUCAAAUUCAAGUUAUAGGGCACCUAUUUUUUAGUUUGUUGUUUGUCAUUGCAAUUCAAGCAAUUAGCAAGUCGACAUUGACUAUUAAAUUAGAAAUGAACAAAAUGAACGAGUCAAUCAAAUUCACGUCCUAGAACUCCCCAGGUGGUUCUCCAGGACUCUAAAUUCACCGAAAUUGUUGUUCAUGUUUGUAAGCAUUACGGAAAAAAUUGCUUCACUUUUUUCAGAAUUGCGAAGCCAGUUCAGAGAGCCACGUGCAAAACGCAGGUUGUAAUAUGCAAAUUCCGUGGCGAAACAGACUUAAACACGAAGGCGCGCUAUAAAAGGAGCCUUAGAUCCCACUGAACCAUUUGUCAAUCAA